RNAcentral lists this transfer RNA (75 nucleotides) under bacterium. RNAcentral describes it as "tRNA-Arg". It matches the Rfam family "tRNA". From Rfam's summary of the family: Transfer RNA (tRNA) molecules are approximately 80 nucleotides in length. The record is from RNAcentral.
GUCCUCGUAGUUCAAUGGAUAGAACAGCUCCCUUCUAAGGAGCGGAUCAAGGUCCGAUUCCUUGCGAGGACACCA